Molecule: ribosomal RNA, 243 nt
Filed under: Providencia rettgeri
Lineage: Bacteria; Pseudomonadati; Pseudomonadota; Gammaproteobacteria; Enterobacterales; Morganellaceae
Description: partial 23S ribosomal RNA
Rfam family: Bacterial large subunit ribosomal RNA
Source: RNAcentral
GGUUAAGCGACUAAGCGUACACGGUGGAUGCCUAGGCAAUCAGAGGCGAUGAAGGACGUGCUAAUCUGCGAUAAGCGUCGGUAAGGUGAUAUGAACCGUUACAACCGACGAUUUCCGAAUGGGGAAACCCAGUGCAAUUCGUUGCACUAUCGUUUGAUGAAUACAUAGUCAAACGAAGCGAACCGGGGGAACUGAAACAUCUCAGUACCCCGAGGAAAAGAAAUCAACCGAGAUUCCCCUAGU